ACGCUCUCCCUUCGGGGGGAUGACGGAGCGGCGAACGGGUGAGUAACACGUGGGCAACCUGCCCCUAGCUCUGGGACAACACCGGGAAACCGGUGCUAAUACCGGAUACGACAUCGAGCGGCAUCUCUCGAUGUGGAAAGUUUUUUCGGCUAGGGAUGGGCCCGCGGCCUAUCAGCUUGUUGGUGGGGUAAUGGCCCACCAAGGCGACGACGGGUAGCCGGCCUGAGAGGGCGACCGGCCACAUUGGGACUGAGACACGGCCCAGACUCCUACGGGAGGCAGCAGUGGGGAAUAUUGCGCAAUGGGCGAAAGCCUGACGCAGCGACGCCGCGUGAGGGAUGACGGCCUUCGGGUUGUAAACCUCUUUCAGCAGGGACGAAUUCAGACGGUACCUGCAGAAGAAGCACCGGCCAACUACGUGCCAGCAGCCGCGGUAAUACGUAGGGUGCAAGCGUUGUCCGGAAUUAUUGGGCGUAAAGAGCUCGUAGGCGGUCUGUCGCGUCGGCUGUGAAAACUUGGGGCUCAACCCCAAGCCUGCAGUCGAUACGGGCAGACUAGAGUGUGGUAGGGGAGACUGGAAUUCCUGGUGUAGCGGUGAAAUGCGCAGAUAUCAGGAGGAACACCGGUGGCGAAGGCGGGUCUCUGGGCCAUAACUGACGCUGAGGAGCGAAAGCGUGGGGAGCGAACAGGAUUAGAUACCCUGGUAGUCCACGCCGUAAACGGUGGGUGCUAGGUGUGAGCGGUAUUCCACGCCGUUCGUGCCGCAGCU
This 769-nucleotide ribosomal RNA is filed under the name uncultured Actinomycetes bacterium. Its description in RNAcentral is "bacterial SSU rRNA". It matches the Rfam family "Bacterial small subunit ribosomal RNA", at positions 68 to 853 of the family's 1533-position model. The record is from RNAcentral. Lineage: Bacteria; Bacillati; Actinomycetota; Actinomycetes.